This 343-nucleotide ribosomal RNA is filed under the name uncultured bacterium. Its description in RNAcentral is "bacterial SSU rRNA". It matches the Rfam family "Bacterial small subunit ribosomal RNA", at positions 28 to 369 of the family's 1533-position model. The record is from RNAcentral.
GAUGAACGCUAGCGGCAGGCUUAAUACAUGCAAGUCGUGGGGCAGCAGGUUUGUAGCAAUACAGAUGCUGGCGACCGGCAAACGGGUGCGGAACACGUACAGAACCUUCCUUGAGCGGGGAAUAGCCCAGAGAAAUUCGGAUUAAUACCCCAUAGUAUAAUGAAGUGGCAUCACUUAUUAUUAAAGAUUAUCACUCGAAGAUGGCUGUGCGGCUGAUUAGGUAGUUGGCGGGUAAAGGCCCACCAAGCCUGCGAUCAGUAACUGGUGUGAGAGCACGACCAGUCACACGGGCACUGAGACACGGGCCGACUCCUACGGGAGGCAGCAGUAAGGAAUAUUGGUC